CUCACUGUUACGGGGCAAAACUCCAACCUUCCAUUAAGAAACGGAAUCUGGGAAACAUGUUUGGCUCUAAAAUUGAGCUUAAACAGGCUGCUUGAACCUCUUGACCUUGACCACAAAGAUUGAACUAGGAGGUUUAAAACACCAGAGACAGAAUUUAAAAUUUACUACUCCUACUACUGCCACCGUUAAUAACAAUAGUAAACAAUGUACUGCGUGCACGCAGCAUAUCCAGUUCUAAGAAGGAGUUUAUGAUCUCAUUGGAGAGAUAAGAUCUGCACAGUCCCUGGAGAACAUCAGGAUUGGAUACAGAAUGAAGAGCAGAAAUGGGCCAGAGGAGACACGGAAGUCCUGUGGAAAAUAACAAAAUGUUGCUUAACAUCUCAACACUCAAGAAAAAUGUGAAGCUGGGAAAGUAGACUUGGUGGUCUUCAGAACCUGCUGGUGCUAUGCUUGGUCUUCCACCACCACAGGGAAAACAGCCCCCCUCCAGCUUGCAAGGUUGCUUUUCAAGAGGCAGUCACCCCAGCAUCUCUCUACAUCAAAAUCUCUGCUAAAGCCAUGGCCCGGUGACCUUUCCCAAGCAGGUCAGCGAAGACUCUCAUAGCAUCACAGUUUGGGAGAAAAACACAGCCCAAGCCAGCACCCAAGUGCAAUGCUGGGUAAAUGCCUCUGGGAUUGGUCCAGGCCUGG
RNAcentral lists this long non-coding RNA (690 nucleotides) under Homo sapiens (human). RNAcentral's name for it is "HSALNT0365901". Lineage: Eukaryota; Metazoa; Chordata; Mammalia; Primates; Hominidae. The record is from RNAcentral.